This 606-nucleotide ribosomal RNA is filed under the name uncultured archaeon. Its description in RNAcentral is "bacterial SSU rRNA". It matches the Rfam family "Archaeal small subunit ribosomal RNA", at positions 315 to 921 of the family's 1478-position model. The record is from RNAcentral.
UCCAGGCCCUACGGGGUGCAGCAGGCGUGAAACCUCCGCAAUGUGAGAAAUCGCGACGGGGGGAUCCCAAGUGCCAUUCUUAACGGGAUGGCUUUUCAUUAGUGUAAAGAGCUUUUGGAAUAAGAGCUGGGCAAGACCGGUGCCAGCCGCCGCGGUAACACCGGCAGCUCUAGUGGUAGCAGUUUUUAUUGGGCCUAAAGCGUCCGUAGCCGGUUUAAUAAGUCUCUGGUGAAAUCCUGCAGCUUAACUGUGGGAAUUGCUGGAGAUACUAUUAGACUUGAGAUCGGGAGAGGUUAGAGGUACUCCCAGGGUAGAGGUGAAAUUCUGUAAUCCUGGGAGGACCGCCUGUUGCGAAGGCGUCUGACUGGAACGAUUCUGACGGUGAGGGACGAAAGCUAGGGGCGCGAACCGGAUUAGAUACCCGGGUAGUCCUAGCUGUAAACGAUGCGGACUUGGUGUUGGGGUGGCUUUGAGCUGUCCCAGUGCCGAAGGGAAGCUGUUAAGUCCGCCGCCUGGGAAGUACGGUCGCAAGACUGAAACCUAAAGGAAUUGGCGGGGGAGCACCACAACGCGUGGAGCCUGCGGUUUAAUUGGAGUCAACGCCGG